GCGCAGCAGGCGCGAAACCUCCGCAAUGCUCGAAAGAGCGACGGGGGGACUCCAAGUGCCUACGCUCAGCGUAGGCUGUUCCCGAGCCUAAAAAGCUCGGGGAGUAAGGGCUGGGUAAGACGGGUGCCAGCCGCCGCGGUAAUACCCGCAGCCCGAGUGGUGGCCGCUAUUAUUGGGCCUAAAGCGUCCGUAGCCGGCUCGGUAAAUGCCUGGGUAAAUCGUCUGGCCCAACCAGACGAAUUCCGGGUAGACUGCCGGGCUAGGGACCGGAGGAGGGAGAGGGUACUCCAGGGGUAGGGGUGAAAUCAGCAAGGUGAGUUGCUGAUGUAACUUGCCUUGCAAGUCACAAUCCUGUAAUCCCUGGAGGACCACCGGUGGCGAAGGCGCUCUCCUAGGACGGGUCCGACGGUGAGGGGACGAAAGCCAGGGGAGCAAACCGGAUUAGAUACCCGGGUAGU
Molecule: ribosomal RNA, 458 nt
Filed under: uncultured microorganism
Description: bacterial SSU rRNA
Rfam family: Archaeal small subunit ribosomal RNA
Source: RNAcentral